GUGAUUUUGGAAACACAGAGACUAAGAAUGAAAUAAUAUAGAGAAGAUCAGCAUAGCACUGCCCAAGAAUGACAUGCAAAUUUUUGAAACAUUCCAUGUUUUC
Small nuclear RNA from Sciurus vulgaris (Eurasian red squirrel), 103 nucleotides. Lineage: Eukaryota; Metazoa; Chordata; Mammalia; Rodentia; Sciuridae. The record is from Ensembl.